RNAcentral lists this long non-coding RNA (1344 nucleotides) under Parus major (Great Tit). Its description in RNAcentral is "lncRNA (ENSPMJG00000007238.1)". The record is from RNAcentral. Lineage: Eukaryota; Metazoa; Chordata; Aves; Passeriformes; Paridae.
UGCACAGGGGUCCCGGUGCACGGAGGGUCCCCGUUACCGCGGUGCCUCCGGUUGCAGCGGGGGGUUCCCUGCGUGCAGGAGGCUGCCAGGCUUUGGGGGGCCCUGGUUUUCCGGGUGUGCAGGAUGUAGGGACAGUCCCCAGCUUGGGGGAGCUGCCCCCAGAAGGGUCCCCACGACCCCCCAGAUGCAGGUGGUGUCUCAGAGGUCCCAGCUGUGGGGUCCCCACCAAACUGGAGUGAAUCCUGCAGGGUUUCCAGCCGCAGGACAGGUGCUGGGAGGAGGCUCAGGCAGAGGGACGUGAUGCUAACACUCACUCCGGGGUGGGUGCCCCCAGCCCCUUGCGUGCCCCCCAUCACCCCUGGGCUGUGCUCGAGGCCGUGGGGCAGAGACAAGACCUGUCCAAUGUCCAGAUCUUCGGGCUGGACACUGGGGACAGAGCUUCCUGCCCAUCCCGGAGCGUCCUUGGACCCUGAAACCCCCUGACCGUCCCCCCCAGGCUGGAUGUCCUUCAGGGACAGGGACAGGAUGCUUUUCCCUGCAGGAUGGUGACAGGGAAAGCUGGACAACGCUGUUGGCACCUGAGACCCUGGUGACACCCAGCAAAGCCAUUCCCCGGGGUGGGAAGGGGUGACAGAGGGAGGUGCAGGACCUAACUCAGAGUGAGCAGAAAGGAGAAAAGCCCAGAAGGAUGUGAAAGGAGGAAGAUCUCUGUCCCUUUCUGAGCCGAGUGCACAGGAUCAGGCACAGAGUGCUGGCACCAUCCCGGGGGUGCAGGAAGAGUCCCGAGGUUGCUCAGCACCAUCCCGAGGGUGCAGGAUGAGUCCCGAGGUUGCUCAGCACCAUCCCGAGGGUGCAGGAUUAGUGCCGGUGUUGCUCAGCACCAUCCCGAGGGUGCUCAGCACCGUCCCGAGGGUGCAGGAUGAGUCAUUCUGCACCUUCUGGAAGGCGCUCAGCACCCUCGGGACCUUUGACCCUGUUCCCUUUGAUCGCAUUACCUUUUUUCCCAAUUUCCGUUUUUCCCAUAAUUCCUUUUUUUUUUUCUUUAUUCCUGGUUUGUUGUUUUCUUUCCCGUUUUUUUUUCCCGAUUUCCAGGGUACUUUUCUUUAUUCCCGUUUUUUUCCCGAUUCCGCCGUUUUCCCCCCCCAAACCGGGCCGGGGUUUUUUGCCCUCACGGUGUCACCGCGGGAGCAGCCCUGGCGCGGGCGCUGCUGCUGCUCCCGGUUGCUCGAGCGGCCACAAAAACCCCAAAAUCCCCGGAUUCCACCCCCAAAUUCCCCCCAGAACUUCAGCCCAAAUUCCUGCCGGGAUUUCCACCCAAAACCCCCAAAUUUCACCCCAAAAUCC